UACGUAGGUGGCAAGCGUUGUCCGGAUUUAUUGGGUUUAAAGGGUGCGUAGGCGGUCCCAUAAGUCAGUGCUGAAAUAUCCCGGCUUAACCGGGAGGGUGGCAUUGAUACUGUGGGACUUGAGUAAAGUUGAGGUUGGCGGAAUUGACGGUGUAGCGGUGAAAUGCUUAGAUAUCUGGAGGAAUACCGGUGGCGAAGGCGGCAUCCUGGACCGAGAUUGACGCUGAAUGGCGAAAGCUAGGGGAGCAAACGGG
RNAcentral lists this ribosomal RNA (253 nucleotides) under uncultured bacterium. Its description in RNAcentral is "partial 16S ribosomal RNA". It matches the Rfam family "Bacterial small subunit ribosomal RNA", at positions 524 to 776 of the family's 1533-position model. The record is from RNAcentral.